GGAAGGGAAUCGCUUCUGGUGGAGCGGCUGGGCUUCAAACCCAGUGGGUGGCGCCAUGCGUUGCCGGGUGGGUUCGACUCCCGCUCCCUUCCGCCA
This 96-nucleotide transfer RNA is filed under the name Betaproteobacteria bacterium. Its description in RNAcentral is "tRNA-Sec". It matches the Rfam family "Selenocysteine transfer RNA". The record is from RNAcentral. Lineage: Bacteria; Pseudomonadati; Pseudomonadota; Betaproteobacteria.